CGACGCGCGUCCCCGGCAUCGGGGAUGCGCCAAAGGUCCGCCGCCGUGGGACGGGCCGUCGUGGUAUUAGGUAGUUGGCGGGGUAACGGCCCACCAAGCCGACGAUGCCUACCGGGCGUGCGAGCGUGGCCCGGCACACUGGGACUGAGACACUGCCCAGACUCCUACGGGAGGCUGCAGUCGAGAAUCUUCGGCAAUGGGCGCAAGCCUGACCGAGCGACGCCGCGUGGAGGACGAAGGCCUUCGGGUUGUAAACUCCUGUCGGAGGGGAAGAAGGGGGCCUCACGGUCCCUUGACUGAUCCUCGGAGGAAGCACGGGCUAAGUUCGUGCCAGCAGCCGCGGUAAGACGAACCGUGCGAACGUUAUUCGGAAUUAUUGGGCUUAAAGCGCGUGUAGGCGGGUGGGCGCGUCGGUCGCUGAAAGCCCCCGGGCUCAAC
RNAcentral lists this ribosomal RNA (438 nucleotides) under uncultured bacterium. RNAcentral describes it as "bacterial SSU rRNA". It matches the Rfam family "Bacterial small subunit ribosomal RNA", at positions 173 to 613 of the family's 1533-position model. The record is from RNAcentral.